GCCGGGCGCGGUGGUGCAUGCCUGUAAUCCCAGCAGCUCUGGAGGCUGAAAAAGGAGGAUCGCUAGUUCAAAGCCAGCCUCAGCAAAAGUGAGGCACUAAACAACUCAGUGAGACCCUGUCUCUA
Molecule: small RNA, 125 nt
Filed under: Marmota monax (woodchuck)
Lineage: Eukaryota; Metazoa; Chordata; Mammalia; Rodentia; Sciuridae
Source: RNAcentral